UACGUAGGGUGCGAGCGUUGUCCGGAUUUAUUGGGCGUAAAGAGCUCGUAGGCGGUGUGUCGCGUCGGCCGUGAAAACCUGGGGCUCAACUCUGGGCGUGCGGUCGAUACUGGCAUCACUUGAGUUCGGCAGGGGAGACUGGAAUUCCUGGUGUAGCGGUGAAAUGCGCAGAUAUCAGGAGGAACACCGGUGGCGAAGGCGGGUCUCUGGGCCGAUACUGACGCUGAGGAGCGAAAGCGUGGGGAGCGAACAGG
This 254-nucleotide ribosomal RNA is filed under the name uncultured bacterium. RNAcentral's name for it is "partial 16S ribosomal RNA". It matches the Rfam family "Bacterial small subunit ribosomal RNA", at positions 524 to 776 of the family's 1533-position model. The record is from RNAcentral.